Molecule: RNA transcript, 1241 nt
Organism: Folsomia candida
Lineage: Eukaryota; Metazoa; Arthropoda; Collembola; Entomobryomorpha; Isotomidae
Gene name: complex III assembly factor LYRM7
Exons: 5
Source: RefSeq, a predicted model, not a curated record
UGAGUUAGCGGGAAUGAAGCUCGUGUUCAUCGACUCCAGACAAUAAAUAAUUCUUCGUUCUUUCAACAAUUAACUAAUUAAUUGCAUAGCUAAUUUUGGAGUGGGAAACAAUUACAAAUUUACUACCCCCAACGUCUACUAUGUCGGGCGGAACGAGGUUAAAGGUAUUAUCCCUAUUUAAAAAGCUGCAUCGAGCAAAGGACAAGGUUUUCGUGGGGGACAGUGUCGCACUAGAUGGUGCCAAGAUGAAGAUCCGAGAAGAGUUUUCAAAACAUAAAGCCAUCACGGAUCCGCAAGAAAUUAACAGUUUGCUAAAAGUGGCGCAAGAAUCGGAAGAAUUAUUGAGGACAAAAGUAGUUCAAUUAUCACAAGUUCGGAAGGAUGUUUAUCAAUUCAGAACGGAACAUCUUCAAGAAAAGUGCUUCAAACUUAAUAUGAAAUGUGAUGAUUGCACGUGUGGAAGAUAGCUCAAUUAACGUAUCAAAAAAAACCUACGACAUGGAAGAAUGUUAGCAGUUUGAAAUGAAAAUGAAAGCGUACUAGUUACAGGAUUGUAAAAUGUAAGAAUGAGGAAGAUAAUCAAGAAAUCUUUAGUGAAAGUUGUGUCAGAUUGGAAUUUAAAUUUUUGUCAGGAUUCUAGUCAUACAGUGCUAUUUAUUGAUUCGUUAAUAAUGAAUGUUUUUACUAGUUUCAAUAAUAAUUGAUCAUGAUGGUUGCUGCAAUCAAUCCUAAUAUUAAGUUAGAUUGUCUACCAAUUGCAAAUUCAGUAAAGAAAUCCGGCUCACAAAAAGUGCAUUCAGGAAAUAAUAAAAGGCUAUAUAACCAGAAUAGUAACUAAAUAUAUGUAUGAUCGAGGAAGCUGUAGCAGUUUUUUUAAGCGGCGGAACCAAGAAGCUACUUAUUGCGAACAAUUUGCCCGUCCAACUUCCGAAGACUCAACUUUUUUUAGUUUUGCUGUCGGAUACGGAUAUCUAAUUUUAAAAUAUAAUUCGAAAUUUUAGUUUUGACUGUUGUAGAGUUACGAGGAUUUCAGAAACGGGUAUAACGCGUAGAUAAGCAAAUAAUGCAUAAUCGAGAAUUUUGUAGCAUGUUUUUUAACUACUUCGCUUCCGCUACUUCAUUCUAUCUGUUUUGCCCGAGUUUAUUAAUCUCUUGACAUCAUGAAACACUUUCGGAAAAUUUAUUCCUGGCGUCAACCUUCAGAAAUGGAAUAAAAUCCAGUAGUAGUUAUAUAUGUUGAA